Molecule: long non-coding RNA, 1844 nt
Filed under: Olea europaea subsp. europaea
Lineage: Eukaryota; Viridiplantae; Streptophyta; Magnoliopsida; Lamiales; Oleaceae
Source: RNAcentral
AGAAGAGAGGCAACCGAGAGAGAGGGAAGCCAUGUGUGGUUGUGAGUGGGAUUCAACCAUUGUGAUAUCUUCGUCUUCCUCUCCAUACCUUUGUGGAUUGCUAACACCACCACCCUUCUCCUUUAUGGGGUUAGAGAGAAAGAGAGCAGUCCAAAGUGAAAGUGAAAGUCUCAGAUCGAGUCGAGGUAAACUGGUGUUCGUUUGGUUGUUUUAUGAGCUCGGAAUUAAGAUUUAUCGAGGAAUUUUCGCUACAAAGAAAAGCAUAAGGAAAAAAUUGCUCACCCAACCAAUAAAUCUAAAAUAAUAUACAAGGACAAAUAAAAAUGAUUCCCGGGAUCAAUUUGUAUUGGAAGAAAAACUAAUUCCAUCAACAAGAAUUUUAUAAUCAAUACCAACUAUCCCUUUUCUAUUAUUGGUUUUUUGUUUUACUUUUUAACUAGUUAUUGUUACAGUUUAAUUUCACAGAAUGGUGUCGACUUAAUAAACACGAGAAGAUAGGCAUUAUACACUCUUUAAUUCCACAGAAUAUCAAGAAUUCGUACACAUAAGAGAGGACAAACCUUUAGAAUUGAAUGAUUUGGUCAAAGCGAAACUACAAAAAAGUAGUUCAAAAUGUAAUGCAUUCUUGAUCAAUUUGCAGCAACGUUCACCGAUAGCAUUCAUAAUUUGCAGCAGCGUCUAUCUGUUUAAAAUUUAAUAUGGUACAGAAGUCUGACAUCAAUGGUUGUGAAAAUUUCAGCAUCAUAGCAUUCAAGAAAAUGUGCUUUCAUGUGACAUUGAAUUUUAAACACAUACAGCAACCAUAUACACAUUAUCAAAACCUGAAUUUGGCAGAGUGACAAGAUAAUUUUUAGCAAUGCCAAUGGUGCAAAUCUAUAGAUAAGGGUUCUCUCUGUACUUCUAUAAAAUACAAAUUGAAUUGGUGCAAUCCAUUAACGAUACAUUUCCACGGCACUCAGAAAAUAAACAGAGACUGAAGAAAUUGGGCAAACAAAAUUUAGAAAAAACCUAAGAAGUGGCUUAAACCCAUUUCCCGAGUAUGAAUAAACAGAAUGCUAAAAACACUUUCAAGAAUGCAUCCAUCAAUUAAAAAAAAAAAAAAAAACUGGUAGAGAAAAGAAUGUACAGCACUUACAAAUUCAUCCACGCCUUCUUUUGGAGAAACUUGGCAAAUCAAACAAUCGAGCACCUAUAAAUCUUCUGCCCAUGAGUUGCAAUCGGUGGUGGUUGUAGUCGGAGUACGGGUGAGUUAAGAAAAAGAAAGAGAUUCAGCCUUUGGGUUGACGCAACCAAUUUUUCAAUUCAAUAUUCUUUAAAGAAGUUAGCAAAAGUUAUCAGAGAAGAUGAGGCUUUAAUUUUCGGUGGUGCCGCCGUCGGAGUGCGACGGUGGAUAAGGUGAGAGAGAGAGAUUGAAAUGUACUCUGUAGAUCCAUUCUUUAUGGUAUUGGAAAGAUGAAAAGUUGGGCUCUUUUUGGGAAAAACACGUUAAUUAUACUUUUGGUUUAAAAAUAAAAUUUAAAAGUUUGCCACAUAGGAUGUCGAUUGUGCAGCCACAUAGAAUGGCCGAAUAGCAAUAGAAAUAUACCUGAUUGAGUUAACCGCGGACCCGAACUUCUAAGGAAAAUAAUGGGUUCCUUACUACUGAAACACAAAGUGACUUAUUAUUUUUUAUGUGCAAUAAUUUAUAUCUAUCUAAAUCAUUUAUAUGUUUUCUAAAAAUAUUUUUUAAAAACUUUGGUCCAUUCUUUUACUUUAUUUGAAAGAUUUGAGAAGUAUUUGCUACUAUUUUUGAAGGUUUAAGACUACGCUGCACAGCACAUUUUUAAGAGCUCUGAAGCUUCCUU